This 4055-nucleotide long non-coding RNA is filed under the name Homo sapiens (human). RNAcentral's name for it is "non-protein coding lnc-ZNF165-1:1". Lineage: Eukaryota; Metazoa; Chordata; Mammalia; Primates; Hominidae. The record is from RNAcentral.
UUUUAACGCACAUUUUAUUCCAGGGCCCUAGUUCUUAAUGCUUAAACUUGAUUAUGUCACUGAAAAUAUUCCUAUGGGAUAUAACAUCAGAAAAGAUAGCGCUUGUACACCACAACUCUAAAGUUGGUGGCGGGGGAAACGGGGAGACCUAGCACCCUUCUAGAAGAUUAAUCCACCAACAUUUCAAAAUCUUGUAAGGAGCUGCGACCCGCUAGGACGGGAGCCUACUGCGCCCUCAAACCCCGCGGCGGCUCCCUCCCCGGAGGGGGCGCGUGAGGCCACCACCCAGAGCCUCUUCCUAGAGGAGCCGGAAGCAUCGGGAGCCGCGGUACCCGCCCAUCUUCCGGCCAGGAUGUGUGGUCCUGGUGAGCGAUUGUCCUGUGGCGUCCGGGACCGAGUUUGUGGCCCAGGGUUAUGUGUGCACUUCACACCUCUGACUUUUUUCAGGGUUCCUAUUGAUGGUUAGGAGCAGGAUUUCGGGGAUGAAGGCGGCAGCAGCAAGAGGAGGCUGCGACUGCGGACCCCAGAUUCGUCCCCCUCCACCACACACAACGCCAAGACGGGCCCCAGGAGGGCGUGAAGAGAAGACUUCCUUUCCUCUCCUCUCGCCUCCUGGCGCUGGCCGUAUGAAGGUGUCUCCCAGAAGCAUUAGCAGAGGAGCCCUGUGGGAGAAAUGAGGAGUGACCCAAAAGAAACUUGCUCAAGGACAGCCUCCUUAAAGCAGACUUCCAUAUACCCCAACCUGCAAAAGAAGACUUUACGUGAAAUGUUACAGCCCAUAACAGCUGCAGCCUUGACUAUUAAAUCUCAAAGGGAAUAAAAAAGUCGCCUGACAGUUAAAGCAGAGGACUACACUUGGGGCCAAGAAUAUGGGCUACUUCAUAUGGAAGAACUCCAGCAACCGGGAGGUAGCUCAUCAGAACGUUAGGCAUUUCUGCUACCAGGAGACACCUGGACCCUGUAAGGCUGUGAGCUGAUUCUGGGAACUUUGCCAUCAGUGGCUGAGGCCAGAGACCCACACCAAAGAACAGAUCCUGGAAUUGCUGGUGCUGGAGCAGUUCUUGACUAUCCUGCCAGAGGAGCUCCAAGCCCGGAUGUUAGAGCAUCAGCCGGAGAACAGAGAGGAAAUGGUGAUCAUAUCGGAGGAUUUGGAAAGAGAGCUUGAUGAAACAGAAUAUCGGGUGUGAUUAAAAGGCACAUGAACACCCUAGCCAGAGAAAGAAGCAGCCAUACAUCCAGGGAAGCAAGGUUGCAGAGCUCAAUCUCCACUCCCUCCCGCUUGAUAUGUAAGUCUCUAUGUUUCGUACUCUCAUCCUUUCUGGUUAGCUCCUUACUUCUUAAGGGUGGAAGAAGACUGUGUCAGCAUUCUUUCUCUAUUCUAUGCCCUGAGAUGUGUUCUCUAAGAUGUCUUUUAAAGAUAGUAACUGUGGUUCCAUCAUUGAGUCUUUCACAAGCCCAGCCAUAUCUAAUUGUUCCCAAGUUGCAGCCAGUGCAUAUGGAAUGGGACUGCACUCAGAAUAUCAUCAUCAAGCAGCACAGGAGCCACCAACUAUUCCUUUCCAGCCAAUGAAAAGACAGCUUAAAUGGGAAUAUCCAGAAUUCCAGGCCAUUCAUGAGCAAGGUGAGCAUCACAGUCCAUCUCGAGAGAAAGGGAGUGGUUGAAAGCUCUGCCAGCUACCCAGGCUGAACAGCAUCAGGAGCAUCUCAGACAUAAUCCACCAUGCUGAAUCAGAUGGAAGGUCCAUCUCCUGAAGUACUACAUUCCAGCUUAUGUGGCACCAACAAGACCUGAUGCAGAAUGGCGUAAUGCUGUCCUCCCUCAUAUCAGCCUCAGCAGGAAGUUGUACACCAGCUUCCGUAAUUUCCUUUAAAAAGCUAUUCUAGGCCACUGUCAUUAAAAAAAUACCUUUACUUUUUUGUAAUAUUUUCAUAAUAUAUAAUUUCAUAGCCCAACCUCUACUACACACUUAGUGCUUUCUCUGUAAAGUAGAAUUUACUUUUUUGUCUUAAAAUUACCUUUUCUGAAUCCCCUGGAUCACCUAAAUCCAUUUUGUACCCUCUUUUCUGUUCCCUUUUAAUAGAAGCUACAUCAUUGACCUGAUGUUUUAGACUCAUCUAAACAUUUUUAUUCUUUAGUCCCUGUUGUCUUUAAUUCAAACAUUACACAUAAUUCUAAAAUAUCCCUUAGGUCAGUCAUCUUCAGUAUUACUUCCUCAUUGGACCCAUUACUUCCAGCUUCAGUAUGCUUGAAUUUGUCCUGACUCUCAAUAGAAACAAAUUAUUUUUCUCUUACCUGUCACUUUCCGCAUGCUAUCUUCAGACCUUCCACUCACUUUCAUCCUCCUCUACUUUUAACACUCAUUUUUACUCCCAUUGCUCAACACAACUCUCUUCUUGAUUGUUCCUUUAUUCUGUCUCUUCCUUUGCUCAGUGGUAUGGACUGAAUGUUUGUGGUCCCACCAACAACCCCUAAACAAUUUAUACAUUGAAGCCCUAACCUCCCAUGAGUUGGUAUUAUAGAUGGGGCCUUUGAGAGGUAAUUAGUUCUUGAGGGCAGGGCCCUGUAUGAUAGGAUUAAUGCCCUUUUAAAAGCAGUCACCAGAGAGCUUGAUAUUUCUCCUAUGUGCCCGUGAAGGUAAGGUCUUGUGAGCACAACAGCAAAAAGGUGAUCAUCUGAAAGCCAGAAGGAGAGCCCUCACCAGAAACCAACCAUGUUAGUACCCUGAUCUCAACCUCCAGAACUGUGAGAAAAUAAAUUUCUCUUAUUUAAACCACCAGUAUAGUAUUUUGUUAUGGCAGCCCAACUUAACACCACUUCAUGUCCCAAUUCUGUGGCAAUAAUGUGCAUGAGAGGUCUCCUUCCAUUUACCAGCUAUCUUAUUCCUUGCCUACAAGGAAUAUAUUCUUACAGAUAUCACAAACAGGGAAGACAGUUAUCUGCAUGGGACAUAGCUUGCUUGCUUAAAGAAAAGGACAGAAGUUUAGUACUAGUGAAGAACCAUUUACAUUUUCUAAGGGCCAUUUUUUCACAGAAAACCAUUGUGGGCUCCCAAAAGUACAAGUAACCCAAUUUAGUAUUUUAUUCAAAGUGAAACAUACACUUAGGAAUAGAAUUCAUGAAAAAUUUUACAAAUAUAAGAUGCAUACUCCAUUCACAGUGGCUAUAUCCUAGAAAAUCCCUAAGUAUUACUCUGUACUAUAUUUUUUUCCUUAAUUUGGGGAAACUUUAGUUACUGAGAUUAUACCCUUGAGAUACGGAGAUCUUUAUGAUUCAAGACGCAGACUUAACUAGCCUAGUUUUCCUUUUCUUUAUUCUGGCUCCGCAUCUUCCAAAUGAGUCUAGUUGGAAACUCUUACCCCUUAGUUUCCUCCCAGUCAGCACCAGUUUAGGGGAGUUAAGGAAUUAUUUUUCAUUUCCAGCUCUGGCUCUAAAUAAUGUGUCUCCAGCAGUGAAAUGUAGGCCAAGAUAGCUCUCUGAUAUGUAGCUCCUAUAAAGGAACCCACUUCUCAGAAGCAUUGGAAAAGGCAAAUUAUGAAGGUUCAUAAUACAAUAUAAUAAAAAUUCUUUAGUCAUCCACUAUUACAGAUACUAAGCCAAAUUUUAAAUUCAUACUGUAUAACAAAUUUGAAUUUAGAAAUAAUUCCUCUUUAUUCUUUUCAUUUCAACCCAAGGUUACUUACUGAUAUAGUUCAGAUAUGUGUCUCCACUCAAAUCUCAUGUUGAAUUGUAAUCCCCAAUAUUGGAGAUAGGGCCUGGUGGGAGGUGACUGGAUCAUGGAAGUGGAUCCUUCAUGAAUGGUUUAGCACCACCUUCUUGGUACUGUUCUCCUGAUACUGAAUUCUUGUGUGAUCUCGUUGUUUACAAGUGUGUGGCAUCUCUCCCUUCUCUCUCUUGCUCUUGCUCCUGCCAUGUAAGAAUCCUGCUCUCCCUCUGCCUUCUGCCAUAAUUGUAAGUUUUCUGAGGCCUCCUCAGAAGCCAAGCAGAUACCAGCAUCAUGCUUCCUGUACAGCCUACAGAACCAUGAGCCAAGUAAACCUCUUUUCUUUAUAAAUUA